UGGGAGAUUUGGAAUGAGUGGAAUGCCCGGGUAUCCCGGAACAUUUACACCUUGCCAACAACGAUCUUUGCAGAGAUAAAGCGUGAGGCGGCACGUUGGGGCAUCGCUGAGGCAAAACACUUGAGAUGA
RNAcentral lists this ribosomal RNA (129 nucleotides) under Triticum aestivum (bread wheat). RNAcentral's name for it is "partial small subunit ribosomal RNA". Lineage: Eukaryota; Viridiplantae; Streptophyta; Magnoliopsida; Poales; Poaceae. The record is from RNAcentral.